GGAGUCAGUUCGGCUGGAUUGGAUACAGGUGUUGCAUGGCUGUCGUCAGCUCGUGUCGUGAGAUGCGGGUUAAGUCCUUUAACGAGCGCAACCCUCAUUGCAUGUUAAUUUUUCAUGCGAGACUGCCCUGGGUUAACAGGGGAGGAAGGUGGGGAUGACGUCAAGUCAGCAUGGCCCUUACACCUUGGGCUACACACGUGUUACAAUGGCCGGUACAAUAAGUCGCAAUACCGUAAGGUGGAGCUAAUCUAUGAAACCGGUCCCAGUUCGGAUUGGGGGCUGAAACUCGCCCCCAUGAAGUCGGAAUCGCUAGUAACCGUGAAUCAGCACGUCACGGUGAAUACGUUCCCGGGUCUU
Molecule: ribosomal RNA, 357 nt
Filed under: uncultured bacterium
Lineage: Bacteria
Description: bacterial SSU rRNA
Rfam family: Bacterial small subunit ribosomal RNA
Source: RNAcentral